This is a long non-coding RNA of Suricata suricatta (meerkat), 501 nucleotides long. RefSeq lists it as uncharacterized. Lineage: Eukaryota; Metazoa; Chordata; Mammalia; Carnivora; Herpestidae. The transcript has 4 exons. The record is from RefSeq and is a predicted model, not a curated record.
AAAGACUGAAUCCAAUACAGGUGGGGCCAAAGAAAGCUGGUUUUUGAGUCAACAUUAAUCUCAACCGGUUCUAAACUGGGGAAAGCCCACAGUAUGUCCAUGACCAAACCCAGCUUUUUCAAGGCUUUGCCAAGAAUGAAAAAAACAGAGGCAACUACUUAGCUCACAAUGGUGAUUCGAGGAGACCUGGAGAAAUACUCUUCAAUUUUAUUUUGGUACCUCUGGCUCCUCUUGAGGGCUUAGCAACAAGAAUUCCCAAUGGCUCUGUCAUCAGGGCAGCCGCAAGGUCAAGUGACGGCCCAGGAUCUGGUACUCAAAAGAGAACAAAGGAAUUAAGUCCACAUGAGUAUUGCACACAGAUAAGUUUUUCAUCAACAAACCACAUUCUCUCCAUGCCUAAGUGACGUCCUGGACUGUGAAUUAAAUGCCAUCCGCAGAAUAUCACGGCAACCAGUUAACUUUGGAAAACAAAACUGAACAAAACAAGUAACAACAACAAAA